This 495-nucleotide ribosomal RNA is filed under the name uncultured bacterium. RNAcentral's name for it is "partial 16S ribosomal RNA". It matches the Rfam family "Bacterial small subunit ribosomal RNA", at positions 28 to 507 of the family's 1533-position model. The record is from RNAcentral.
GACGAACGCUGGCGGCGUGCCUAAUACAUGCAAGUAGAACGCUGGAGGAGGAGCUUGCUUCUCUGGAUGAGUUGCGAACGGGUGAGUAACGCGUAGGUAACCUGCCUGGUAGCGGGGGAUAACUAUUGGAAACGAUAGCUAAUACCGCAUAAUAUUGACUAUUGCAUGAUAGUCAGUUGAAAGGUGCAACUGCACCACUACCAGAUGGACCUGCGUUGUAUUAGCUAGUUGGUGGGGUAACGGCUCACCAAGGCGACGAUACAUAGCCGACCUGAGAGGGUGAUCGGCCACACUGGGACUGAGACACGGCCCAGACUCCUACGGGAGGCAGCAGUAGGGAAUCUUCGGCAAUGGACGGAAGUCUGACCGAGCAACGCCGCGUGAGUGAAGAAGGUUUUCGGAUCGUAAAGAUCUGUUGUAAGAGAAGAACGAGUGUGAGAGUGGAAAGCUCACACUGUGACGGUAUCUUACCAGAAAGGGACGGCUAACUACGUG